RNAcentral lists this signal recognition particle RNA (97 nucleotides) under Gammaproteobacteria bacterium. RNAcentral describes it as "signal recognition particle sRNA small type". It matches the Rfam family "Bacterial small signal recognition particle RNA". Rfam says of the family: The signal recognition particle (SRP) is a universally conserved ribonucleoprotein involved in the co-translational targeting of proteins to membranes. Archaeal SRP consists of a 7S RNA and homologues of the eukaryotic SRP19 and SRP54 proteins. Lineage: Bacteria; Pseudomonadati; Pseudomonadota; Gammaproteobacteria. The record is from RNAcentral.
UUCCGGUCCCCUCGCAACGACAGGUUGUAAACCCCGCCAGGCCCGGAAGGGAGCAACGGUAGCAACUGACUCGUGUGCCGGGGUGUGGCUGGAUUGG